Long non-coding RNA from Ahaetulla prasina, 309 nucleotides. RefSeq lists it as uncharacterized. The transcript has 3 exons. NCBI's taxonomy places the organism in Eukaryota, Metazoa, Chordata, Lepidosauria, Squamata, Colubridae. The record is from RefSeq and is a predicted model, not a curated record.
GGGAGAGCCGGCUCGCAGCAUGACGACGCCCCGCCGCUUCGACAAGGCGCUGAAGAUGUCCCUGCGGAGGAAGACCAAGAUUCAUUCGGCGGCUGGAAAUUUCAAGGCACCUGGGAUGAUCUCACCUCAACCACACCAGAAGCAGUUAGAUGGCUAGUUUCCACAUCUAUCCCAUUGCAAUUCAACGACUCCGUAUUAUGAUAACUUGUACCCAUGGGUUGAUGACUCCUGAAGAUAUGAAAUACGUUGUUUCCAAGCAGCCUGAAAAGCUGGAAGUUGUUAUGCGUGUAACACAAACCACUGAUUAUU